GUGCCAGCAGCCGCGGUAAUACGGAAUGUGCAAACGUUAUUCGGAAUCACUGGGCUUAAAGAGUCCGUAGGCGGCUUGUUAGGUGAGGUGUGAAAUCCCCCGGCUCAACCGAGGAAUUGCGCUUCAAACCGGCGAGCUUGAGGAAGAUAGAGGUGGGCGGAACUGAUGGUGGAGCGGUGAAAUGCGUUGAUAUCAUCAGGAACACCGGAGGCGAAAGCGGCCCACUGGGUCUUUUCUAACGCUGAGGGACGAAAGCUAGGGGAGCGAACGGGAUUAGAUACCCCGGUAGUCCUAGCCUUAAACGAUGAGCACUAGACCGAAGGAUUUCCACAAUUUUUUGGUCGUAGCGAAAGUGUUAAGUGCUCCGCCUGGGGAGUAUGGUCGCAAGGCUGAA
This 394-nucleotide ribosomal RNA is filed under the name uncultured bacterium. RNAcentral describes it as "bacterial SSU rRNA". It matches the Rfam family "Bacterial small subunit ribosomal RNA", at positions 505 to 898 of the family's 1533-position model. The record is from RNAcentral.